CCGACCUUAGCUCAGUUGGUAGAGCGGAGUACUGUAGUUGUAGCAGAAUAUCCUUAGGUCACUGGUUCGAAUCCGGUAGGUCGGA
Molecule: transfer RNA, 85 nt
Organism: Arabidopsis lyrata subsp. lyrata
Lineage: Eukaryota; Viridiplantae; Streptophyta; Magnoliopsida; Brassicales; Brassicaceae
Rfam family: tRNA
About the family: Transfer RNA (tRNA) molecules are approximately 80 nucleotides in length. Their secondary structure includes four short double-helical elements and three loops (D, anti-codon, and T loops).
Source: Rfam